Long non-coding RNA from Drosophila subobscura, 560 nucleotides. RefSeq lists it as uncharacterized. Lineage: Eukaryota; Metazoa; Arthropoda; Insecta; Diptera; Drosophilidae. The transcript has 3 exons. The record is from RefSeq and is a predicted model, not a curated record.
ACACACACACACACUGACACACACACACAGAGAUCAGAUCCGAGUGAUAUGUAGAUGAUCAUCAAACUGAAUGCGAACCCGCGCUGCGCUGCACACAAUCAAAAAACAGACACCAAAAAAAACCAACAAGUUAAUUGUUAAAGUAAAUAUAUUAAUAUAUGUGUAAAAAGAAAACAAAAAACAAAAAAACCAAUUAAGAACUACGAAAAAAAACCAAAACAAAAAAAACGAUUAAGCAAAAAACGAAAAAAAAGUAUAAGGAAAAACAAAACAAAAAGUAAACAAAAACAAAAACAAAAAAUACUUAAACAUACUCAAGUCACAGGGCUCUGCCGCCGUAUGCCUUUGUACUUUUAAUGUAUGGAACAAUCGAUAACGUAACGAUUACGAUAACGAAACCGUAACAUGACGCUGCCUUCACGCGCAGUCGCCGCGUGGUGGACGUGGACGUGGACGCUUGACGGUGCCGCACAGUGCGCGGGCGCAGCGGAGCAGCAGUAGAAAAACAAAGAAAAAAUUAAACAACAACAGCAACACACACAAAGGGAAAGAGAGAGAGA